CGACUUUAACACCUCUGUAUAUUCACAAUGCUGUGUAUAUAGACAGCAUAGUUGAUUUAUAAUGAAAAUAGUAUAUUUUUGAUGUGACACAUUGCCUGAUUGCAGAGUAGGCAUGUUGUCAUGCACACUGCAUAGACUUACUGUAGCUGCGGUUUGGUUCUAUGUAGCGAGUGGUCAUUCACCAGACGCCACACAGUGAGGGUGAGGAACAUGAGAACAUGGAAGAAGAGGAAGGUAGCACAGGCUCCUCUCGAGGAUCCCUACAAUGGUAUCAAGUGCCUGUUUACUGGUCUUACUUUGAUCUACGGAGGGGUGAAGACCAGUGACAACCAGAAAAGAAAGACAAUCGUGAUAUACUGUUCACUGCAUUGCAUUUAGCGUUCUCUCUCUUCUUUCAUGAGAACAUCUUUGUAAAUAGCAAAAGCAAUUUUAAUUUUCAGAUACAGUUUGAGCCCUUGAACUCUUGUUGGUGGUAACAGAUAUGAAUCCCUCUCUUUGUAGCAGCUAUGUUGAUAGGUUUAUUCUUAUUUUAAUUAUUAUUUUUAUAUGAGUCUUUUUUAAAUUAAAGUGAAGAAGUGUCAUACUGACAUGCAUGGUAAACUACUUGGAUUUCAUGCCCUGACAGAUGCAAUUCAAAUAUGUAUAAAAGUAGCACACACUGCCUGCCCUGAAGUUUUCUUUGUGUCUAACUGUGAAACGUUUUAUAGUAAAGACUUUUGUGCUGUACAGAUGCCGUCUAUGCCUUUCAGCCUUCUUAGAAAUGUUUCUCAGACUUCAUUCUGACACUUUCAUACUGUGGUUUUGUUUGCCAUUUACAAGUCUGUGAAAACCUUUGACUGUGGUACUUGUGUCAGUACAUGUGAGACAGAAGAAAGUGAGGUAGAUGCUGGGUUGCAGGGUGGAAACUGUGAUGGUAUUGACAGGUCAAUGGCAGGAAAUGGAAAGUGCAGUGCAUCUGGUUUUCUUUGACCUUAUUUUCAACACGAUGCACCUGUGUGUACUUCUGUUGACCAACAAACAAAAAAGCAAGUAAUACUGUAAAUAACAUUUAGACAUGUAGAAUAAAUAC
Cyprinus carpio carpio is the source of this 1069-nucleotide long non-coding RNA. NCBI's taxonomy places the organism in Eukaryota, Metazoa, Chordata, Actinopteri, Cypriniformes, Cyprinidae. The record is from Ensembl.